UUGUCGGUAAGGUAAAAGCUUACCAAGGCUUCGAUCAGUAGCUGGUCUGAGAGGACGACCAGCCACACUGGGACUGAGACACGGCCCAGACUCCUACGGGAGGCAGCAGUGGGGAAUUUUGGACAAUGGGGGCAACCCUGAUCCAGCCAUGCCGCGUGAGUGAAGAAGGCCUUCGGGUUGUAAAGCUCUUUCAGCCGGAACGAAACGGUUACGGAUAACACCCGUGACUACUGACGGUACCGGAAGAAGAAGCACCGGCUAACUACGUGCCAGCAGCCGCGGUAAUACGUAGGGUGCGAGCGUUAAUCGGAAUUACUGGGCGUAAAGCGUGCGCAGGUGGUUUUGUAAGUCAGAUGUGAAAGCCCCGGGCUCAACCUGGGAACUGCGUUUGAAACUACAAGACUAGAGUGUGGCAGAGGGGGGUGGAAUUCCGCGUGUAGCAGUGAAAUGCGUAGAGAUGUGGAGGAACACCGAUGGCGAAGGCAGCCCCCUGGGUCAACACUGACGCUCAGGCACGAAAGCAUGGGGAGCAAACAGGAUUAGAUACCCUGGUAGUCCAUGCCCUAAACGAUGUCAACUAGUUGUCGGGCCUUUACGGGCUUGGUAACGUAGCUAACGCGUGAAGUUGACCGCCUGGGGAGUACGAUCGCAAGAUUAAAACUCAAAUGAAUUGACGGGGACCCGCACAAGCGGUGGAUUAUGUGGAUUAAUUCGAUGCAACGCGAAAAACCUUACCUACCCUUGACAUGUAUCGAAGCCCGCAGAAAAGCGGGGGUGCCCGAAAGGGAACGAUAACACAGGUGCUGCAUGGCUGUCGUCAGCUCGUGUCGUGAGAUGUUGGGUUAAGUCCCGCAACGAGCGCAACCCUUGUCAUUAAUUGCCAUCAUUUAGUUGGGCACUUUAAUGAGACUGCCGG
This 916-nucleotide ribosomal RNA is filed under the name uncultured bacterium. RNAcentral describes it as "bacterial SSU rRNA". It matches the Rfam family "Bacterial small subunit ribosomal RNA", at positions 246 to 1155 of the family's 1533-position model. The record is from RNAcentral.